UACGUAGGGGGCGAGCGUUGUCCGGAUUCAUUGGGCGUAAAGCGCGCGUAGGCGGCGUCGCAAGUCGGCCGUGAAAUCUCCCGGCUCAACUGGGAGGGGUCGGGCGAGACUGCGGUGCUGGAGGCGGGCAGAGGGUCGUGGAAUUCCGGGAGUAGUGGUGGAAUGCGUAGAGAUCCGGAGGAACACCAGUGGCGAAGGCGGCGACCUGGGCCUGGCCUGACGCUGAGGCGCGAAAGCGUGGGGAGCGAUCCGG
This 253-nucleotide ribosomal RNA is filed under the name uncultured bacterium. RNAcentral describes it as "partial 16S ribosomal RNA". It matches the Rfam family "Bacterial small subunit ribosomal RNA", at positions 524 to 776 of the family's 1533-position model. The record is from RNAcentral.